Molecule: ribosomal RNA, 381 nt
Filed under: Triticum aestivum (bread wheat)
Lineage: Eukaryota; Viridiplantae; Streptophyta; Magnoliopsida; Poales; Poaceae
Description: partial small subunit ribosomal RNA
Source: RNAcentral
AUGGAGAUUUCAGCUGCGCCGGCGCCGGUGCUCGGAUCCGGAUCAACGUCGGCGGCCAACGAUCAGGCGGCUUGCUUGGGGGUUCCCGUUCCGGGCGGUGGCGGCGCCGCGGCGGCAGCAUCGGGAGUUGCCUCGCCGGAACCAGUCGUGCGGCUGCUCUCUCCUGAUAUGCGCCCGUCGGAAGAAGGGUUGGCACAGCCGGCGGCGGAAAGGGCUUUGUCGGAUGUCGAGUUCUCCGGGGGUUCCUGCACAACGUUCAUCUCUGGCGGUGGUGAUGCGGCGUCCGGAGGCGGCAAUGGCGCGGCUCCGCCCGCCGUCUCACAAGGCUCGAUUCAGUCCGUACCCCUCAGUGCAAGGCUCGAUUUUUUCCGGACUGAAUAA